UACAGAGGUCUCAAGCGUUGUUCGGAUUCAUUGGGCGUAAAGGGUGCGUAGGCGGCGCGGUAAGUCGGGUGUGAAAUCUCGAGGCUUAACUCCGAAACUGCAUUCGAUACUGCCGUGCUUGAGGACUGGAGAGGAGACUGGAAUUUACGGUGUAGCGGUGAAAUGCGUAGAUAUCGUAAGGAAGACCAGUGGCGAAGGCGGGUCUCUGGACAGUUCCUGACGCUGAGGCACGAAGGCCAGGGGAGCAAACGGG
Molecule: ribosomal RNA, 253 nt
Filed under: uncultured bacterium
Lineage: Bacteria
Description: partial 16S ribosomal RNA
Rfam family: Bacterial small subunit ribosomal RNA
Source: RNAcentral